This 667-nucleotide ribosomal RNA is filed under the name uncultured bacterium. RNAcentral describes it as "bacterial SSU rRNA". It matches the Rfam family "Bacterial small subunit ribosomal RNA", at positions 65 to 747 of the family's 1533-position model. The record is from RNAcentral.
GGAGGUAGAUGGAGCUUGCUCUAUGUACCUUAGCAGCGAACGGGUGAGUAACACGUAGAUAAUCUGUCCUAUAUUGGGGGAUAGCCCGAUGAAAGUUGGAUUAAUACCGCAUACAGCUAUAUAGUUGCAUGAUUAUAUAGUGAAAGAUUUAUUGAUAUAGGAGGAGUCUGCGGCACAUUAGCUAGUAGGUGAGGUAAGAGCUUACCUAGGCGACGAUGUGUAGCCGGUCUGAGAGGAUGAACGGCCACAAUGGAACUGAGACACGGUCCAUACUCCUACGGGAGGCAGCAGUGGGGAAUAUUGCACAAUGGGGGAAACCCUGAUGCAGCAACGCCGCGUGAGUGAAGAAGGUUUUCGGAUUGUAAAGCUCUGUUAGCAGGGAAGAGGAAGGACGGUACCUGCAGAGGAAGCCACGGCUAACUACGUGCCAGCAGCCGCGGUAAUACGUAGGUGGCAAGCGUUGUUCGGAAUAACUGGGCGUAAAGGAUGCGUAGGCGGUUAAAUAAGUUAUAUGUUAAAUAUAUAGGCUUAACCUGUAGAAAGCAUAUAAAACUGUUUAACUAGAGUGCAGGAGAGGUAAGUGGAAUUCCUAGUGUAGCGGUGAAAUGCGUAGAGAUUAGGAAGAACACCAGUGGCGAAGGCGACUUACUGGACUGUAACUGACGCU